UUUAGGGUUCUGUGAUACAGGCAGGGGCUGUGGUUUAGGGUUCUGGGAUACAGGGGCUGUGGUUUAGGGUUCUAGGAUACAGGGGCUGUGGUUUAGGAUUCUCUGAUACAGGGACUGUGGCUUAAGGUUCAGUGAUACAGGAGCUGUGGUUUAGGGUUCUGUGAUACAGGGGCUGUUGUUUAGGGUUCUGUGAUAGAGGGGCUGUUGUUUAGGGUUCUGUGAUACAGGGGCUGUGGUUGUGGUUCUGUGAUACAGGAGCUGUGGUUUAGGGUUCUGUGAUACAGGGGCUGUGGUUUAGGGUUCUGUGAUACAGGGGCUGUGGUUUAGGGUUCUGUGAUACAGGGGCUGUGGUUUGGGGUUCUGUGAUACAGGGGCUGGGGUUUAGGGUUCUGUGAUACAGGGGCUGUGGUUUAGGAUUCUCUGAUACAGGGGCUGUGGUUUAUAGUUCUGUGAUAAAAGGGCUGUGGUUUAGGGUUCUGUAAUGCAGGAGCUGUGGUUUAGGGUUCUGUGAUACAGGGGCUGUGGUUGUGGUUCUGUGAUACAUGAGCUGUGGUUUAGGGUUCUGUGAUACAGGAGCUGUGGUUUAGGGUUCUGUGAUACAGGGGCUGUGGUUUAGGGUUCUGUGAUACAGGGGAUGUGGUUUAGGUCAGUGAUACAGGAGCUGUGGUUUAAGUGAUACAGCGGCAGUGAUACAGGAGCUGUGGUUUAGAGUUCAGUGAUACAGGAGCUGUGGUUUAGCGUUCUGUGAUACAGGGGCUGUGGUUUAAGGUUCUGUGAUACAGGAGUUAGGGUUUCUGUGAUACAGGAGCUGUGGUUUAGAGUUCAGUGAUACAGGAGCUGUGGUUUAGCGUUCUGUGAUACAGGGGCUGUGGUUUAAGGUUCUGUGAUACAGGAGCUGUGGUUUAGGGUUCUUUGAUACAGGAGCUGUGGUUUAGAGUUCAGUGAUACAGGAGCUGUGGUUUAGAUGCAGUAAGGAUGCAGAUCGUUCUGGUGGGUCUUGUUAUUUGUUGUGUCACGAUGCCUAUGCCUCACAUUCAGUGAGCAGCAUUAGAAAGAGACCUUGUGGGAUUGUAUUUUCCUAGAGUGAGAAUCAGCAUGUGUUCCCUGGGCGGCUUGACCUAAAUCUGGGGGUCAAUGAGCAGGUCUCCCCCGAGGCUUCUCUGUUCCCUAAAACUCCUGAGAUCAGCAGCCGGAACAGUCUGCCCCUGGCACUGGAAAUCCCAAAACUGUGUGUGCUCAUUUGUGAAUUAAUAAGAGGAACUCACAAAGCAAUGAAUGGCAUUUAAUUACACUGUAUCAGAGCCAGGGGGCGGAGAGAGUGUAAGCUCUGUGGGUUGAAACAUUAUGUUGAUUUUAACGUGGAGAAAAACGUUCACAGUACUGCUUUAUAAGCUCUGAUACACAAGAGGGCCAUGCCUGACAUUUACAUUCGGAGACUAUUUACCAG
Pelobates cultripes (western spadefoot toad) is the source of this 1447-nucleotide non-coding RNA. The record is from the annotation of a GenBank genome assembly. Lineage: Eukaryota; Metazoa; Chordata; Amphibia; Anura; Pelobatidae.